AGAGUUUGAUCCUGGCUCAGGAUGAACGCUAGCUACAGGCCUAACACAUGCAAGUCGAGGGGCAGCGGGGGCAGAGCUUGCUUUGCCUGCCGGCGACCGGCGCACGGGUGCGUAACGCGUAUCGAACCUCCCCCAUACUCGGGAAUAGCCUUGCGAAAGUAAGAUUAAUGCCCGAUGGUCUCAGAAUAUGACAUCAUGCUUUGAGUAAAGAUUCAUCGGUAUGGGAUGGCGAUGCGUCUGAUUAGAUAGUUGGCGGGGUAACGGCCCACCAAGUCGUCGAUCAGUAGGGGUUCUGAGAGGAAGGUCCCCCACAUUGGAACUGAGACACGGUCCAAACUCCUACGGGAGGCAGCAGUGAGGAAUAUUGGUCAAUGGGCGAGAGCCUGAACCAGCCAAGUAGCGUGCAGGACGACGGCCCUAUGGGUUGUAAACUGCUUUUAUGCGGGGAUAAAGUACACUACGUGUAGUGUUUUGUAGGUACCGCAUGAAUAAGGACCGGCUAAUUCCGUGCCAGCAGCCGCGGUAAUACGGAAGGUCCGGGCGUUAUCCGGAUUUAUUGGGUUUAAAGGGAGCGCAGGCCGGAGGUCAAGCGUGACGUGAAAUGUAGCCGCUCAACGGCUGAACUGCGUCGCGAACUGGUUUCCUUGAGUGAGUUCGAUGUGGGCGGAAUUCGUGGUGUAGCGGUGAAAUGCUUAGAUAUCACGAAGAACUCCGAUUGCGAAGGCAGCAUGCCAAGCCGUUACUGACGCUCAGGCACGAAAGCGUGGGGAUCGAACAGGAUUAGAUACCCUGGUAGUCCACGCAGUAAACGAUGAAUGCUAUCUCUGCGGGGCGAAUGUGCUCUGCGGGGAACAGCGAAAGCGUUAAGCAUUCCACCGGGGGAGUACGCCGGCAACGGUGAAACUCAAAGGAAUUGACGGGGGCCCGCACAAGCGGAGGAACAUGUGGUUUAAUUCGAUGAUACGCGAGGAACCUUACCCGGGCUUGAACUGCCGGCGAACGAUUCAGAGAUGAUGAGGCCCUUCGGGGCGCCGGUGGAGGUGCUGCAUGGUUGUCGUCAGCUCGUGCCGUGAGGUGUCGGCUUAAGUGCCAUAACGAGCGCAACCCCUGCUGGCAGUUGCUAACGGUUCGGCCGAGGACUCUGCCAGGACUGCCGGCGCAAGCCGUGAGGAAGGCGGGGAUGACGUCAAAUCAGCACGGCCCUUACGUCCGGGGCGACACACGUGUUACAAUGGGGCGGCACAGAGGGAAGCCAGGUGGCGACACCGAGCGGAACCCGAAAACGCCUCUCAGUUCGGAUCGGAGUCUGCAACCCGACUCCGUGAAGCUGGAUUCGCUAGUAAUCGCGCAUCAGCCGUGGCGCGGUGAAUACGUUCCCGGGCCUUGCACACACCGCCCGUCAAG
RNAcentral lists this ribosomal RNA (1404 nucleotides) under uncultured bacterium. RNAcentral describes it as "bacterial SSU rRNA". It matches the Rfam family "Bacterial small subunit ribosomal RNA". The record is from RNAcentral.